AUUGAACGCUGGCGGCAGGCCUAACACAUGCAAGUCGAGCGGAGCGAGGGCCGGGUGAGUGAUGCCUAGGAAUCUGCCUGGGAGUGGGGGAUAACGUCCGGAAACGGACGCUAAUACCGCAUCCUAUCAGAUGAGCCUAGGUCGGGUGAGCUAGUUGGUGGGGUAAAGGCCUACCAAGGCGACGAUCCGUAACUGGUCUGAGAGGAUGAUCAGCCACACUGGAACUGAGACACGGUCCAGACUCCUACGGGAGGCAGCAGGGGGGAAUAUUGGACAAUGGGCGAAAGCCUGAUCCAGCCAUGCCGCGUGUGUGAAGAAGGUCUUCGGAUUGUAAAGCACUUUAAGUUGGGAGGCGUUACCAACAGAAUAAGCACCGGCUAACUACGUGCCAGCCGCCGCGGUAAUUC
Molecule: ribosomal RNA, 407 nt
Filed under: uncultured bacterium
Lineage: Bacteria
Description: partial 16S ribosomal RNA
Rfam family: Bacterial small subunit ribosomal RNA
Source: RNAcentral